CGGAGUGUGGCUCAGUCUGGUAGAGCACUACGUUCGGGACGUAGGGGUCGUAGGUUCGAAUCCUAUCACUCCGACCA
RNAcentral lists this transfer RNA (77 nucleotides) under Halothiobacillus neapolitanus c2. RNAcentral's name for it is "tRNA-Pro (CGG) (tRNA-Pro-CGG-1-1)". It matches the Rfam family "tRNA". From Rfam's summary of the family: Transfer RNA (tRNA) molecules are approximately 80 nucleotides in length. Their secondary structure includes four short double-helical elements and three loops (D, anti-codon, and T loops). RNAcentral also lists the same sequence under 11 other names. The record is from RNAcentral. Lineage: Bacteria; Pseudomonadati; Pseudomonadota; Gammaproteobacteria; Chromatiales; Halothiobacillaceae.